GAGUUUGAUCAUGGCUCAGGAUGAACGCUAGCGACAGGCUUAACACAUGCAAGUCGAGGGGCAUCACGAAUUAGCAAUAGUUUGGUGGCGACCGGCGCACGGGUGCGUAACACGUAUACAACCUACCUUUAAUAGAGGGAUAACCUGGAGAAAUUCGGACUAAUACCUCAUAGUAAGAUAUUUAGGCAUCUGGAUAUUUUUAAAGAUUUAUCGAUUAGAGAUGGGUAUGCGUAGGAUUAGCUAGUUGGUAAGGUAACGGCUUACCAAGGCUACGAUCCUUAGGGGUUCUGAGAGGAAGGUCCCCCACACUGGUACUGAGACACGGACCAGACUCCUACGGGAGGCAGCAGUGAGGAAUAUUGGUCAAUGGGCGAGAGCCUGAACCAGCCAAGUCGCGUGAAGGAAGACAGCCUUAUGGGUUGUAAACUUCUUUUGUACAGGGGUAAAAGGUUUCUACGUGUAGGG
Molecule: ribosomal RNA, 465 nt
Filed under: Porphyromonadaceae bacterium canine oral taxon 184
Lineage: Bacteria; Pseudomonadati; Bacteroidota; Bacteroidia; Bacteroidales; Porphyromonadaceae
Description: bacterial SSU rRNA
Rfam family: Bacterial small subunit ribosomal RNA
Source: RNAcentral